AUGAUUUCACACGUCUUUUUGUUUCUGUCCUCCAGAGCUGGAGACGUAGACUGGUAGUCAAAGAGUUUCAGGAAAAGUCUCACAGACUUGAAAACGAAGGAAAAUAAACUGAGUUUCUGCACAACUGAGAUGGUUCAUCUGUGGGAGUGAGUGGAAAAGGUUUGGAUGAGCAGAUUCCAUGGUUUCUGCAGCUGCAGUGCAGUCGCCCAGUCAGGAUAUAAAGCUGAAGGAAAUGAAUCAGGGCCGGGUAAUGACAGCAGUGAUAAAAUAUAGCUGAAGUCCUACAGUUGUUCUGGCUUCAUGGUAAACUACUGCACCAUUCUUCUGGUGUUAACCUGCUCAGAAGAGGUUUUUAUUCUCAUUUCAUAUAUUUUUUAUGUAAAACUGUUGAAAUGUUACGUUAUUACAUGGCUUUAUAAUAAAACAGUUAA
This is a long non-coding RNA of Betta splendens (Siamese fighting fish), 431 nucleotides long. RefSeq lists it as uncharacterized. The record is from RefSeq and is a predicted model, not a curated record. The transcript has 3 exons. Lineage: Eukaryota; Metazoa; Chordata; Actinopteri; Anabantiformes; Osphronemidae.